Hipposideros armiger (great roundleaf bat) is the source of this 2723-nucleotide long non-coding RNA. RefSeq lists it as uncharacterized. NCBI's taxonomy places the organism in Eukaryota, Metazoa, Chordata, Mammalia, Chiroptera, Hipposideridae. The record is from RefSeq and is a predicted model, not a curated record. The transcript has 5 exons.
GGACGGGAGUGUGAGCGUCUGAGAGACUCUCUUGAAGGACUUGGAGUGAGUGGCGCGCAGGACUUUCCUUACACACUGAGGACUUCAUCAGGCAGAGGCGAAGUCAAGAGCAUUGGGAACCAAGAGAAAUAACUUUUCCUGAGCUGUUGCCAAGCAAACCACACCCUCAGCUCAGCCCUAUUGUAUCCAGCCCUAUUUUUAUUCAUUAUCCUCAUCGCUGGUGGAUAGUGAGAGAGAAGGGGAAUGCUGACUGCUUCCCUACUUUGCAUCUAGAUUUGCAUCAAAGAAAGGAGAUUAUCUGGUGGAAAAAGUGGAGGAUGACCUCUUAAAAGCCCAACAAUGACAAGCCCAAAUAACCAUGCAGUGAGGAGUUAAUAAACCCACUUACCUGUCCCGAGUUUCAACCUCAAUUUUGAAAGCUGAAGUGGGCUGUGCUAUGAACGUGUGUGGCACCGGAGCACAAAUAGCUCGGAGGAAAGCAGGCGAGGAAUGAGAGCACCCCUUGGUCUCACUGCCCCAAACCAGGAGGCACUUUGUGGCAAAGCUCCCUUGAAUGGGAAUAAUGGCUGAAGCCCGUUUUCCUCCCCUACGCUGACCUUCAGAUCAUUCCUUGGGGAGCAGCUCUGUCCCGGGCACCGCCCAACUUCUCCCCCCAGUCAGCCCUUCUAGGCCUUUGAGACCAGAGCUAUGGGAGGAGAAAACUCUUGGGAAAGCAGCCAAGAGAGAGGGAAAGACUGACCUCAACCUACCAAGGGGCACAGGGUGCCCCCAUCCUCACCCUGUACCUUCCACUGGAAAACGGAGAAGCUGGGAAACCAGAUUCCAGCCUCAAAAUACACUUCGCUUGUCCUUGUUUUGUCAAGAAGCCUCUACCUUCCAGACCUUGCCAGGAAGCCGGCGGCAUUUUCACAAAGCAGCAAUAACAAGGACAGAGAGUUCUAGCCUGCCGGAGCCUGCUGGCUGGUCACUCUUUCCACUGCCUUUUGUCUUCAUGCAUCAUUCCCUCACUUGCUUCUCAGAUUCCUCAGGGCUUUGAAAAAGCCACAAAUGCUCCAUGAAGUGACACCACCCAGCGGCCUGGCUGACACGGCCGACAUGCACCCUACCCUGUGCGAUGGCACAUCAGCAAGCCCUGACAAAUGACACCACGUCGUACACCUAGUGAGAGGCAAGACAGCUUUUAGAAAGCGACCCGCCGGCACCCAUCAGCCUAGCUGGCAAAGGGGAGACUUCACAUAAGUAACACCCAGUGGACUGAAUGUGGAAGUACCAGGAUUCUCUAAUGAAAUGUCAGAUGGAGGAUGAAGGAGGGAGGGAGAGACAGCCAAAACCUCACCAAAAGCCUGUUUACGAAGUCAGGAUUGGAAGUGAAGAGGGCCAUGUGAUGGUGUGAGGAUGACCCUCCAUGUGAGGAAAUAGCGCAGCAACAAACAGGAACUGCCUUGCCAUCAUCCCAUCACUGGGAUUUCUGCAGGUGACCAACAGGAAUUCACUGUUUACCAGUUCCAGUCAGAUGUGAACUUGGGCCCCGUGGCAGGAAGAUCCAGGUCAAGAACAAGCAUCUCAGUGAUGGAGAACGGGCAGAGGCCUUGGGAAUUAUGAGCAGGAGGCUGGCAAGCGUCAUGGAAAUGGCCAGAGACCAAUCUCUGCACAACAACGAGACCCAGGAGCGCCUCAACAUAAGUCAAGAGUCCUUGUAGGCAACAGAAAGCCAAGCUCAGCCUAACUCCUGUGAAGCUUUCUUUUCUGCUCACCCAGCUCUAACCAGGGAAGGCUACUUGGGGCACAGCCAGAGGGAGCCAGGGAAGGUCAGAGGGUUUGCAGAUAUCCAGGGCCACGGCCAUGGUUUUCCAGGGCAAAGAGGCCAAGGUCAUGGGCUUCUCUCCAGACCAGUUUGCUCCUUUCACAGGAAGAGCUGUCCUACAGUUCUGAGCUGCACUCCCAAGUCCAGCCAACCAUCUAAAAAAUUCAUGAUGCUGUUCACAAGGGCCUGGGUGGAGACGGCUGUGUGCAAACUCGCCCUGACUGGGGACAGAUCCCGGGGUGAUGUUGCAGGUGGGGGGGGGCUGGAGGGGGAGGGCAUACUUCACAGGAGCAAUACAGCAUAGCGUGACACUUUAUUUUUAUUGAACGUAUGCUGAAAGGUUUUUUUUCUUAAAGUUUGUAUGAGUAGAAAUUGCUGUCUUGUGCCCUGAUCCCCGGAGACAGAAGGCCGGACUCUGAUAGCUUCUGCAGGAUGGAGCCUAUGAGCGCAUGACUGUUAGCAGAUAUCCCAAGAGCUUCACAGAAAUUUCAGAGGGAUACACGUAUUGCCCAGAAUCUACUAGAGGGUGUUAUACCUUGGCAAAGAUAUGUUGUAAAAUGAAACAUGAGAUCUCCAAAGGAAAUCCUGGGGGGACGGUACAUGAACCAAAGAGGCAGCAUCGUAUAGUUAAAAGCAUGGACUCAGGAGCCAGGCUGUCUGGGUUCAGAUCCUGGCACUGCCAUUUAUUAGCUGUGUGACCUUGAGCAAGUCACUUAACCUCCCUGGGCCUCAGUUUCUUCAUCCACAUAAUUCAGACAAUAGUAGUUUCCAGGUCACAGGGUUGUUUUAAGAAUUAGAUAUAAUAUUUAAAAAGUUAAAUAAGUUACUAUGUAAAAGCACUUAGGACAGUGUCUUUCACAGCAAGAACUAUUUAAGUGUUAUAUUUAAAAAGGAACAAAGGGCCGGCUGAGUGGCUCAG